Molecule: ribosomal RNA, 496 nt
Filed under: uncultured bacterium
Lineage: Bacteria
Description: partial 16S ribosomal RNA
Rfam family: Bacterial small subunit ribosomal RNA
Source: RNAcentral
AUGAACGCUGGCGGCGUGCCUAAUACCUGCAAGUCGCGCGAACGGACGAGAAGCUUGCUUCUCUGAUGUUAGCGGCGGACGGGUGAGUAACACGUGGAUAACCUACCUAUAAGACUGGGAUAACUUCGGGAAACCGGAGCUAAUACCGGAUGAUAUUUUGAACCGCAUGGUUCAAAAGUGAAAGACGGUCUUGCUGUCACUUAUAGAUGGAUCCGCGCUGCAUUAGCUAGUUGGUAAGGUAACGGCUUACCAAGGCAACGAUGCAUAGCCGACCUGAGAGGGUGAUCGGCCACACUGGAACUGAGACACGGUCCAGACUCCUACGGGAGGCAGCAGUAGGGAAUCUUACGCAAUGGGCGAAAGCCUGACGGAGCAACGCCGCGUGAGUGAUGAAGGUCUUCGGAUCGUAAAACUCUGUUAUUAGGGAAGAACAUAUGUGUAAGUAACUGUGCACAUCUUGACGGUACCUAAUCAGAAAGCCACGGCUAACUACGUG